GGUGAACGCUGGCGGCGUGCUUAAGACAUGCAAGUCGAACGCAGUCUUCGGACUGAGUGGCGCACGGGUGAGUAACACGUAACUGACCUACCCCCAAGUCGCGGAUAACUGGCCGAAAGGUCAGCUAAUACGUGAUGUGAUGUCCCCUUUCUGGGGGGCCAUUAAAGGUUUACUGCUUGGGGAUGGGGUUGCGUUCCAUCAGCUAGUUGGCGGGGUAAAGGCCCACCAAGGCAACGACGGAUAGCCGGCCUGAGAGGGUGGCCGGCCACAGGGGAACUGAGACACGGGUCCCACUACUACGGGAGGCAGCAGGUAGGAAGCUUCCACAAUGGGCGAGGGCCUGAUGGAGCGAGGCCGCGGGAGGGAGGAAGGUUCUCGGAUCGUAAACCUCUGAAGCAGGGACGAAAGGCGCGUAAGCGGGAUGACGGUACCUGAGUAAUAGCACCGGCUAACUCCGUGCCAGCCGCCGCAGUAA
RNAcentral lists this ribosomal RNA (475 nucleotides) under uncultured bacterium. Its description in RNAcentral is "partial 16S ribosomal RNA". It matches the Rfam family "Bacterial small subunit ribosomal RNA", at positions 28 to 523 of the family's 1533-position model. The record is from RNAcentral.